Molecule: small nuclear RNA, 20 nt
Filed under: Arabidopsis thaliana (thale cress)
Lineage: Eukaryota; Viridiplantae; Streptophyta; Magnoliopsida; Brassicales; Brassicaceae
Description: snRNA_02932
Source: RNAcentral
AACCCUCUAUUCGAGAGGAG